AUACGUAGGGUGCGAGCGUUGUCCGGAAUUACUGGGCGUAAAGAGCUCGUAGGUGGUUUGUCGCGUCGUCUGUGAAAUUCCGGGGCUUAACUCCGGGCGUGCAGGCGAUACGGGCAUAACUUGAGUACUGUAGGGGAGACUGGAAUUCCUGGUGUAGCGGUGAAAUGCGCAGAUAUCAGGAGGAACACCGGUGGCGAAGGGGGGUCUCUGGGCAGUAACUGACGCUGAGGAGCGAAAGCAUGGGUAGCGAACAGGAUUAGAUACCCUGGUAGUCCAUGCCGUAAACGGUGGGCGCUAGGUGUAGGGGUCUUCCACGACUUCUGUGCCGUAGCUAACGCAUUAAGCGCCCCGCCUGGGGAGUACGGCCGCAAGGCUAAAACUCAAAUGAAUGGACGGGG
RNAcentral lists this ribosomal RNA (398 nucleotides) under uncultured bacterium. RNAcentral's name for it is "partial 16S ribosomal RNA". It matches the Rfam family "Bacterial small subunit ribosomal RNA", at positions 523 to 918 of the family's 1533-position model. The record is from RNAcentral.